Molecule: long non-coding RNA, 467 nt
Filed under: Physcomitrium patens
Lineage: Eukaryota; Viridiplantae; Streptophyta; Bryopsida; Funariales; Funariaceae
Description: long non-coding RNA (PPAT_LNC007932)
Source: RNAcentral
UUUUAAUUUUAAUUCAAAAGUACUCAAAAACAUUCUUUUUAGUAAUUUCAAUCAUAUGAAAAUUCCAAUUGCAUUAUUGCUUUCACAAUUAGACAAUUUUGAUUUUUUUUUGUAAGUCUUAAUCUUAGACAGUGAACUUUAGUAAGCUUUAAUUUCUAAUCGAAUCAUUUACUUAGUACAAAAUUUUGCACACAAAUUCUAUUAUAAAUUUUUUAUAUGCUUAAUAAAAUUCAAUCUAAUUCUAUUUAUAGAUUUUAAGAAAAUAGCUAAAAACUCACAUAGAUGUUACCUAGCCACCAACUCAAAAGAUAAUGCAGAUGUUUUAGUAGAAAUUUUUCAUUUUUUAACUAUUAAAUUUAGCUCAAAAUUGAUAUGUAGCUUGAUCUUUAAGUCUUCUAAGACUAUGCCAAGUUUAAUUUUUUUUUUCAAUAAGUAGAUCUUCAAAUAUCAUAGAAAUCCUAUCUAAU